This is a non-coding RNA of Nematostella vectensis (starlet sea anemone), 71 nucleotides long. The record is from Rfam. NCBI's taxonomy places the organism in Eukaryota, Metazoa, Cnidaria, Anthozoa, Actiniaria, Edwardsiidae.
GCGCUGGUGGUUCAGUGGUGAAAUUCUCGCCUGCCACGCGGGAGGCCCGGGUUCGAUUCCCGGCCAGUGCA